This 445-nucleotide ribosomal RNA is filed under the name uncultured bacterium. RNAcentral's name for it is "partial 16S ribosomal RNA". It matches the Rfam family "Bacterial small subunit ribosomal RNA", at positions 339 to 795 of the family's 1533-position model. The record is from RNAcentral.
CUACGGGGCGCUGCAGUGGGGAAUAUUGCACAAUGGGCGCAAGCCUGAUGCAGCAACGCCGCGUGAGGGAUGAAGGCCUUCGGGUUGUAAACCUCUUUUAGCAGGGAAGAAGCGAAAGUGACGGUACCUGCAGAAAAAGCACCGGCUAACUACGUGCCAGCAGCCGCGGUAAUACGUAGGGUGCAAGCGUUGUCCGGAAUUAUUGGGACGUAAAGAGCUCGUAGGCGGUUUGUCACGUCUGCUGUGAAAAUCCAAGGCUCAACCUUGGACUUGCAGUGGGUACGGGCCGGCUAGAGGGCGGUCGGCGAGAUGGGCAUUCCUGGUGUAGCGGUGGAAUGCACAGAUAUCAGGAGGAACACCAAUGGCGAAGGCACAUCUCUGGGCCGUAACUGAGGCUGAGGAGCGAAAGCGUGGGGAGCGAACAGGAUUAGAUACCCCUGUAGUC